CAGUCGCCGCGGUAAUACGUAGGGUGCGAGCGUUAAUCGGAAUUACUGGGCGUAAAGCGUGCGCAGGCGGUUAUAUAAGACAGAUGUGAAAUCCCCGGGCUCAACCUGGGACCUGCAUUUGUGACUGUAUAGCUAGAGUACAGUAGAGGGGGAUGGAAUUCCGCGUGUAGCAGUGAAAUGCGUAGAUAUGCGGAGGAACACCGAUGGCGAAGGCAAUCCCCUGGACCUGUACUGACGCUCAUGCACGAAAGCGUGGGGAGCAAACAGGAUUAGAUACCCGCGUAGUCCCUGUCUCUUAUAC
RNAcentral lists this ribosomal RNA (301 nucleotides) under uncultured bacterium. RNAcentral's name for it is "partial 16S ribosomal RNA". It matches the Rfam family "Bacterial small subunit ribosomal RNA", at positions 509 to 807 of the family's 1533-position model. The record is from RNAcentral.